AAGUCCAAACCCGGCAAAGCCAUAGCGGGCAGCCGGUACACAGCCUUGGAGCCGAGGUUGCGAGGCCAGGCUUAAGCGUAGGCAGUGGAGUGCGAGAGCCGCAAUGCGAAAGCGUGAAGCGAUUCAGCCCCGUAAGAAGUAUAGAGCGGAAGCCGAUACCUUCCUCAUGGUCGCAGGCAGCAAGAAAUGGUCGGUAAGCGAGACCGAGGAGAUUCCGCAGGGGUCAA
Molecule: non-coding RNA, 227 nt
Filed under: bovine gut metagenome
Source: RNAcentral